This 93-nucleotide transfer RNA is filed under the name Actinomycetes bacterium. RNAcentral's name for it is "tRNA-Ala". Lineage: Bacteria; Bacillati; Actinomycetota; Actinomycetes. The record is from RNAcentral.
GAGCACAUGGCCCGACUUUCGGUCGGUGUUGUUGGCGACGAUGUCAAAGACGGCAAUGUUGCGAAACUGCUCGUGCAACUCGGGCCGUGAUUC